AUAAAAUUUUAUUCUGAUAUAAUUACAAUCGUCUGCUGAUAGCACUAUAUUAUAAGAUGGAUAAUACAUGAAACUUACAUGAUUUUAUUGGGUGAAAUUUACAUACAAAAAAAGGACUAAAAAAUGAAUUUUACAUAAUUUAACGUUGUGAAUUUAAUAUACAUUUACAUGAAAACAACCAGAGCUAAAAAAUAUGAUGAAUUUAGACUGUUAAAUGUAUAUUUUAGUUACAAUUCAUGUUUUCAAUUUCUGUUGUGUUAAUGAUUCUCUGUUUUAGUAAUAGUAUUAGAAUUUAUUUGUAUAAAUUAUUCACAUUAUAAUAAUUUACAAUUAGGCAUCCAGGCCUGAGUUUAUAAGAAAAUAAGAAAGGAAAUUCAAGACAUUUUUUUGUACAAAAUAUUUCUAACUUCUACACUAAAUAUAAAAACCUUAUAAAAUGUGACAGCAGAAGAAAAGAAAAAGAAGAAUAGAGAAUUGAAAUUCAGAAGUUAUCAACUAUACAUUUUAUUACAAAUGCAACUUGUUUUUAUUUGAAUAUGCAGUUUUAAGCAUUGUGUAAUACAUUCUUGUGCAACUCAAUUUAACAAUUCUGGUCAAACUCAAUCCAGAUAGUGUACUUAGUGGAAAUCAUUCAAAUCAAGAAGUUCUAUAUAAGUUAAGUUUCAUUAAUCUUGAAAAUUUUGAAACAGUAACUUUGGUUCUGACAGCAUCUGAUAUCUUUGAUUGCAAAAAACCCAACAUUAAAACAUGUUUGGAACAUAAAAAUUAUACUAAAAGAUAUUUGCAAAAAGUUUGUUUUUUUAAUAAUAAAAAAAAGAAGACAAAUAUCAAUGUCUUAAAUAAAAGAUAAAGAUUAUUUUUGAUUCCUUUUUGUUGUUUGGACAUAAAAUCUUCUGAAAACCCUCUCCUGAAAUAGUGGGACACACAGAACAACAGUGUUUACAAUUGCAUUUCAAAAUUUCAAAAUAUGUUAUUCUUAAAUAAUUUGUGAUAGUCUGUACAAUACAAAUAGGGAUCUAACAACAAUUAUACAAAAGUUAGCUACUUAAAUUUCAACAAUAUCUAAAUACAAAAUCUUUGUAUAAAAUUUAUUGCCUUUAUGUAAUUCGUCUAACAACCAAUUGGUUAAGUAAUCAGCAAUUUACAAAUUAAAAUUCCUUAGGGUCGGAUGUGCCAGACAACCGUCAUCUUUACAUUUGACAAAAAGUGGUUAAAUGUGCAAUAUUUUUCUAUAUACAUGUUGUAUGAUGGUAAAAAAAAAAACCUUGCCAUUUUGAUUUUACCCUCUGGCCAAUUUUUUAAAAUAAAAUAUAAAAAAAUUGAUCUGUACCUAUGGGUUAACACGUCAAUAAAGUUAGCUACAUAUAAAAUAGAAGUUAAAACUAGCCCUUGAUAAUAUUCAAUUGCCUUAUUACAGGUUAACUGUUUAUAAGGUUGUGAAACUUUGAAAGAAAAAUAUUUUGAAUAUCUCCUUGGUUGACUCUUGUAUACAUUUUAUUGUGCUGAUGAUUAGCUCCAUUCCUUUACUAAUUUAUUAAAUAGAAGGCCAUAGAUAAUCUAUUUCAUGCUAAUUUCUAAGAUUAUGACAUUGGCAUUAGCUUAUGAUGUCAUCACAUUCUCUGAUUUAACCUCUCGUAGCUUAAUUCAGAAAAUGAUCACUUCAACAGUUCAAACAAUAAUUUUUGAAAAUAGUAGUAGCUACAUAAUUUUUAGAUUAUAAAGCUGAUUCUCCUUAAUAAAUUCCAAAAGAAAUUCCAAGAAAUCUCAAAUGGUUAAACUCCUUGAAAUGUUUGAAAAAAUCUGUAGAACUGAUGUGCUAAUGAAAUACAUACAAUGUAUAAUUUACAAACGGAAAAAAGUAACAAAAUGUUUUCACCUACAUCUAGAAUAUGAAAAAUCUUUAAAACAUACAACAUCUAUGAAAUGAUCUGAGAACAAAUGACUAAUGUUUGACACAUAAUAACAAAUAUCUAAUAUAAGUUGGUAUAAAAUAUUUAUAAUGUAAAGAUCAUCUGACAGACAAAUUGUACAUUAUUUACAAACUGAAUAAACAUUUCACAAAUAAAACAGGAUUUUGUACAACUUAAAGGUAAAUUUUUAAUAAUUUCUACUAAUUGGUAUCUACUAUGGUAUGUUAUUUGCUAAAAACACCGAGGACUCAUUUAUAGUUCAAUUUAUAUGAGGGCAAAAUGUCAUUCAGCAUCACAACACCCCCUUUCUCUACUUUUACAUCCAAACAGGCUUAAUAACAGUUAAACAUUUACUAUAAAUUUCAAAUAGGAUUCUCUGAAACACAAAAAAUCUUUUUUUCAAACACUUCAAAAUUACAAAACAAAACAAAUAUUCAACAGCAGGUUUGUUUUGAAACUACAUAUUUAACUUUUACUUUAUAAUAUGUAUUUCAAUGAUCAAUUUGACUAGUAAAAUGGUAGACUGCUAUUUACUUCAAGACAGCAGAAUACACAAAUUUAUGUAAUAACUUUCAUUUGUUAAAACAAUUUGCAUAAAUGCACAGUUUCUUGUAACAGUUUUAAGAUUUUAUAUCUUUAUGUUGUCUGAUAUACCUUGAAUGUUUACAUGUCCCAAAUUUCAACCAGUCACAGGCAAAGUUAACAUAUAUAACAUCCAACAUAUGUCAAACUAUAAAAAAAAAUUUGAAAACUAUGAACUAUAAAUGAGUCCUUAGUACUAUGACAUAUGGAAUUCUAUUAAAACUGAGCAACUAUAUCAAUCUAUAAGACAUUUACAAUAGAUAUUCCAGCACAAAACAUUUCAAACAAACAACAGAGUACAAUACUUCAUAUAAUUAUGCAAUGGAAUAAAACUGCAAACAUAUCAAAUUGUCAUUCCUCAGAAAUAAAUACUCACACAAGCAUUGUACAGCAAAAAGCCUGUGCAGAUUAAUGUACAUAAUGGUGCUGUUAUUGACAGGUUCUUGCCCAAAUUCAGAUAUCAGAAGGACUGUGAGGAUAUUGCCCAAAUUCAGAUAUCAGAAGGACUGUGGGUAUAUUGCCCAAAUUCAGAUAUUGCAGGACUGUAAGGUUCUUAUCCAAAUUUAGAUAUUACAGGAUUGUAAGGUUCUUGUCCAAAUUUAGAUAUUACAGGACAGUACGGUUCUUGUCCAAAUUUAGAUAUUAUAGGACUGUAAGGUUCUUAUCCAAAUUUAGAUAUGACAGGACUGUACGGUUCUUGUCCAAAUUUAAUUAUUACAGGACUGUACGGUUCUUGCCCAAAUUCAGAUAUUGCAGGUAAGGUUCUUAUCCAAAUUUAGAUACAGGAUUGUAAGGUUCUUGUCCAAAUUUAGAUUUUACAGGACUGUAAGGUUCUUGUCCAAAUUUAGAUAUUACAGGACUGUAAGGUUCUUGUCCAAAUUUAGAUAUUACAGGACUGUACGGUUCUUGUCCAAAUUUAGAUAUUACAGAUCUGUACGGUUCUUGCCCAAACUCUGAGAAAAAAGGUCUGGUUUAAAGGGUAUAAUAUGAUGAAUACCUAUACAAAUUCAUUUUCACUGAGCCUUGAUACUGUAGAAAGUGGAAACGGUAAUAAAACAGUGAGUACCCAUUAAAUUUCAUUUGGCAUUUCUUUUAAAUUCUAUAUAAAAUUAUUUGUCAAAUAACUCUGCUAAGCAAAAUAAUUUUCAACAAGCUGCCAGGCUAUAAAAUUAAGUAUGUUCUACAUUUUGAUCAAUAUAAAAUAUUUUGGUAAAGCAACAAACUCAUCUUUAAUAUAUGUAUAGAGCAUUUGAUGAAAAAGUGAUCACAAAGUGAAAUACAGUCUCUACUGAUUCCUCAAAGGGCAGAAAAAUUCCCUGCCCAGCUUGAGCAAGGAGAAGUACAAUUUAAACAUUGGAGUACUUCGGAAGUAUUACGCAAAAUGCAUUUAAAAUGACUUCCUUUCAGUUUUUUAAAUAUAAUUCAUAGUUGUAAUGUUAAUGGGAUGAAUGUAAAAAUUCCAUUUUAAAACUCAUAACUUUACUUUGCUCUUCAUUGUGCAAUGGCAUUUUUGGCCCUUAAGGGAACUGAGAAAUUUCUUAAAACCUAAAUUGCUGUAACAUUGUGAAAUCAAACUUAAGUCUUCAGCAAAAGCUCUAUAAUGUUAUGAUACAUGUGGUAAUGACCAAGUGUUCAGAUAAAAAGUUGACUUUUUUUAUGAUGGAAAAAAUCUGAUGUGAAUUUGUUUUUAAAAGGCUGGUGUAUUUGACAGUAGUUUCUAAUCUAAUUUUUGUGUUUCAUUGUGAGAUACAUUGGUCAGUUAUCAUCCUUUAAAUAUGCUACAUAUAAAAGUUAUAAUCUCCCUUUUGUUUUUUCUUCAAAGAGGAGGUUGUUGUACUCUUUGGUCCUUCUUCACUUGCAACAAUCAAUAUAAUUGAAAACAUAAGUUUUUAAGUGCACUGUGUUAAAUUUAUUUGUACAUUACUUGAUUAAAAAAAAUGUAAUUUUAUAUGAAUUAACAGUGAUUAAAUAUCAAUGAAACUCAAACUUUUUUCUCUGUGAUGAUCUCUCAAAAAUAUUUUGUGAUUUUUCCAAUCAUAGAAGUUUAAAAACCCAAAGAAAAAAGGUGAAAGGUUGAUAUAUUGGACUUAUACUGAUCCUAAAUAUUUAAUGAUGGACCCACUAAAGCCUCUGGUCAGGGAAUAUGUUGAGCACUGAAAAUUAUAAUGCUCCAUGUUCUCAAGGGAGUUAGCUCAAACACAACCUAUUAAAGGGAGAUAAUUAACAAAUGAUUCUCUGGUAAAUAUAUAUGCAAGAACAGAUAUUUCUUCAUCAAAUGAGUAUCAUAUUUGGGAUUAAUAGGGAAUAUACGGUCUGUUUGGACUGUAAAAAAUUAAACAUACAUUGAAAAUGUUAUUUAUAGAAAAUCAAUUUCAACUGUCUUGAGGUAGCUAAAUAUUUAUUAUGCUUCCAAACAUAACAUUCGACAAUAUAAAGUUUGCAUAUUAUUUAUAAAUAUGAAUGUGUGAAAAUGAAAUGUUUUAUGUAGAUAAUGAUUGAAUUAAAUAAUAUAAUAUAAAUUUUACAGCUAUUAAGACAUUCAAUGGUUAACUUGUACAAGAUUUAUGUUAGUAUAUUCAUAUGUACAAAUGUAGUUUAUAAGUGAGGGCAUGUUAGCCAUGUACACAAGCAUUUAAGCAUGAUUAUUUGAUUUAAAUGUAUGAUAUAUAAUAAAUAAAUUAUUCUUGCCUAAUUUCAAGACUCAGACUGCAGUUAUUAAUAACAUUUACUCUAGACAUUAAUUAGUAAUGUUAAUAAUCUAACAUUCCCCACUUAAAUUUUGUUUCAUAUUUACUUUUACUCAAGUUCAUUUGGAAAACAAAGUGUAACGCAUGUUUUAAUAAUAGACCUGUUUUGAUUGUCAAAUGACAAAACAUCAUGUGUUAUUCAUUUCCAUUCCAUAAGUGAUUUUGUUUCAAUAAAAUUCUAAUCAAGAAAGCUACUUGUUAAAAAUUGACUUGAAAUUAAAAUUUUGCCAAAAAGAAUUACUUUUUCUUUAUUAAACACCAAAUAAUUUGCCUGUUUGAAAUUUUCAGUUUAAAAUUAUUAAUGUUUUUGUUUGACUUUAGGGUUAUUCCAUUCAAAAGAAUGUGGGAGAGUAAGAUGGGAGUGAAAUCCUCUAUACAGCCAAUUCACUCUCAUUUUAGUAAAUUGUAAUAUAAACCUUCAAAAAUAAUGGAACUGUCCAAAAAUAAAUCUUCCCAUCCUAACCUCACAUAUUCAUUAUAAUGGAAUCACCCUUAUUAAACAGACAUCAUAUAUUUUG
Molecule: long non-coding RNA, 5757 nt
Filed under: Mytilus galloprovincialis (Mediterranean mussel)
Lineage: Eukaryota; Metazoa; Mollusca; Bivalvia; Mytilida; Mytilidae
Source: RNAcentral